AUGGCCCUUCACCGUUGCGAUAGUCCUAAUGAGCUCUAUCCGAUGCACUCCUCCACCACCGCCUCCACCACCCCAGUCGCCCUCGCCGCAGGUGUCGACCUUUGGCAUGCUCGUUUGGGACAGCCGAACUCCACCGCUUUGCGUCAAAUACUUAAGAGUUUUUCAUUCUCAUGCAAUAAGAUCAACGACCAUACUUGUGAGGCUUGUCGUCUUGGCAAGCACGUUCUUCUUCCCUUUAGCGCAUCUACCACUAUUUCCACUUUUCCGUUUUUGUUAUUGCAUAGUGAUGUUUGGACAUCCCCGGGUGCAAGCAACACGGGCUACUGA
RNAcentral lists this ribosomal RNA (327 nucleotides) under Triticum aestivum (bread wheat). RNAcentral's name for it is "partial small subunit ribosomal RNA". Lineage: Eukaryota; Viridiplantae; Streptophyta; Magnoliopsida; Poales; Poaceae. The record is from RNAcentral.